UUUUGCUGGACAUUCAGUCCUGCAAGUGAAGACAUUCAGAAUGAAAAUAAUAAAUAGAUCAACAUUGAAAGGAGAAAUUAAGGUUGAAAACGAGUGCACCCGCACGAGCGGGGAUCGAACUCACAACCUCAGUGUUGACUGGCUAGUGAUUACAGAAGUAACUUCUUAGACCACUCGGCCACCGAGACCCUUUAAUGAAGUAUGUCUACGUUUCUAAUCAAAUUCGAAUGUUUUGGGGUUUCAUGAAAUACUACUUACCAACAACUGUUUCAUUAAAAAAAAAAAAGCAUAACAUUUUGGAUAAGAUAAGGAGAUGUGGUAUGAUUGCACAUGAUACUAUACACCGGCGAUCAAUGUGCUAAUUUCAGGAUAUAUAUCGUAGAAAUAAUGAAUUUUUAGAGAAGCUUGAAGAUGUUCAUGCCUCUUUCGUCUACAUAUCUUAAUGAGUUUUUAACGUCUUAAACCCUGACCUCAUCGAAAACUUUGAACUUUGUUUUCAGCAUUUCAGUC
Molecule: long non-coding RNA, 510 nt
Filed under: Mytilus galloprovincialis (Mediterranean mussel)
Lineage: Eukaryota; Metazoa; Mollusca; Bivalvia; Mytilida; Mytilidae
Source: RNAcentral